GGUUCAAAAUUUCGGCGAAAUUUCGCCGAAAUUUCGCGAAUUUCGGUAAUUUCGGUGGUGGCCGAAAGAAAAAUCCGAAAUUUUAUUAUAUACUAAUACAUGUGCUAUAUAACUUUAGACUCAUAUUUUUUAUUGUUUAUAUUGCAUAUUCUUCUAUUCAAUAGAUGUGUAAUCAUAAAUCAUAUUGAGACUUGUUUAGAUCUAUUUUUUAAAAAAAUAAAAGCAUACUUCAUGUGCUAGUCUCUAAAAAAAUUUCGGCGAAAUUUUGGCCGAAUUUCGCGAAAUUCGGUAAUUUCGGUGGUGGCCGAAAUUUUUGCGAUAACGAAAUUAAAAACCUUG
Molecule: long non-coding RNA, 339 nt
Filed under: Sorghum bicolor (sorghum)
Lineage: Eukaryota; Viridiplantae; Streptophyta; Magnoliopsida; Poales; Poaceae
Description: long non-coding RNA (SBIC_LNC000275)
Source: RNAcentral